AAGAAGGAACAAGUUUUCAAAGGCGAAAGCACGAGGCGAGGCGCUUGACCCUCCAUGGGGCGAGGCGUACGCCCCAAGGCAUUGAGGCGUAAGCCUUUUGAUUGUUUAUUUUUUAAAUAAUUCAAUUAAUAAAAUAACUUUAAAAUUUUAAAAAAAAAUGUGCAGUUCAUAAAAGAUAGCAUAAAGUAGAUUACCAGUUAAUGACUUAUUAUUACCUUAUCAGUUAUUAGUUAUUAACUUUUUAUCUCAUUAAAUUAUCACUUUAUUAGUUAUUAAUAGAGCACAUCAGUUUGUCACAGAGCACGACUGCGGCUGAGGUGUACGCCUAAGGAAAUUAGGCAACUACCUUUGUGGUUCACCGCCCAAAUUUUCAAGCCCUGAGGCGAUUUGGCCUUGCCUCACCGCCCCAACGCUCCAAGGCGUGCCCCACAAACGCCUUUAAAAACCUUGGAACACUAGCUAAAGCCAGGAGGUAUAUAAUUGAAGCAAAUAGAAACAAGACACUGAGCAAAAUUAGGGAACAUACUGCAUAACACAGAUAAUUGCAGGAUUGGGACUAUGUUUACCUGAUAAAGACAAUAUGAAAGCAGCAUCGCGAGUGACAAAAUAAGUGAGAUCAGGACUGCUAAGCGCCUUCCUGAAGUCGAACUCAUAGUUUGUAGCAAUUGGACAACAAUAAAUGGGAUUACAGACACA
This is a long non-coding RNA of Rhododendron vialii, 696 nucleotides long. RefSeq lists it as uncharacterized. The transcript has 2 exons. The record is from RefSeq and is a predicted model, not a curated record. Lineage: Eukaryota; Viridiplantae; Streptophyta; Magnoliopsida; Ericales; Ericaceae.